RNAcentral lists this long non-coding RNA (660 nucleotides) under Marmota monax (woodchuck). Lineage: Eukaryota; Metazoa; Chordata; Mammalia; Rodentia; Sciuridae. The record is from RNAcentral.
AUGCUGUCCCUUCUGCUGCCUCUCUAGUUUACUGAUCUGGCCCUUUUAGUAUAUCUCCGUACCUUCAGCUGAAGUUUAAGCCCUUAGAAGGCAGGUAGAGACUUGUACCUGGUAAAGCCUAGUCUGGUACCAGGAGAUACUUUAUGAUGAUAAAGGUGACUUACAAGGAAGUUAGCAAUUUCCCCACUUAGGAGUCUGAAUGAAGGACCAACUACCUUCAAAGGAAGCCAUCUGAAAAAUCCCUAGGGAGAGGGAUCUUCUAGGCAAGGAGAAGUUAAAAGAGAGUUAAUCACAUUCUAGUCUCCAGUGAAAAACUUAGGAGAUCUGGACCAACUGAGUUUUCAUAGAAAAGUAAAUAUGCCUAACUUCUCUUUAGGAAAAAUAAGGUCAGGAAAAAUGUAGGCAGCUUCUAAGGAGUACAGCAUUGAAACUGAAGGCUACAAUAAAAAGAUAAGAAACAAUUUAAUGUUAACCGUUGAUAGUUUGCAUUGCUAUCUCACAUAAAAGUGCUCCUUUGCCUUUUUGUUAUUCCAAAUGCUUUUGCAACAUUGGUCAAAUAAUUCUAUAACUCCUAAGCAGUGGUCAUUGUGAAACUUAUGAAAUUGAAUCAGUUGAUUAUACAUGCUUCAGAAGUAAACUUACUAAACACUUCUUAAAAAU